UAUGAACCGUAAUGCCAUUAAUUUGGUGUUGCGGGGAAUUUGGACUGUUACUUUGAAAAAAUUAGAGUGUUUAAAGCAAGCUAACGCUUGAAUACAUUAGCAUGGAAUAAUGAAAUAGGACGUUCGAUCUUAUUUUGUUGGUUUCUAAGAUUGACGUAAUGAUUAAUAGGGAUAGUUGGGGGCAUUAGUAUUCAAUUGUCAGAGGUGAAAUUCUUGGAUUUAUUGAAGACUAACUACUGCGAAAGCAUUUGCCAAGGAUGUUUUCAUUAAUCAGUGAACGAAAGUUAGGGGAUCGAAGACGAUCAGAUACCGUCGUAGUCUUAACCAUAAACUAUGCCGACUAGGGAUCGGACGGUGUUAGUAUUUUGACCCGUUCGGCGCCUUACGGGAAAC
Molecule: ribosomal RNA, 393 nt
Filed under: uncultured Glomus
Lineage: Eukaryota; Fungi; Glomeromycota; Glomeromycetes; Glomerales; Glomeraceae
Description: SSU rRNA
Rfam family: Eukaryotic small subunit ribosomal RNA
Source: RNAcentral